AUGGCUCAGCGCACGCGACCCGCCAAGGUUCAAGCCGCCCCGAAGCAUGUCUUUGUUGGAUUUACUCAAGGAGUAGAUCUGGAAGGAGGAUCUGAGUUCGGUGGUGAGACAGCCGUCUAUUCAGUCGAUGAGUCCUCAAUCGAUCAGACCAACUCCAUGUAUCAAGUUCAGGAUGGUGGGCUUGGGGGCUGUUCCGAUGGUGACAGUAUUCCAGACCCCUAUGAGCCGCCAAACCGGGUUACAAUCUUCAUGGCCGGUACGCAGCCAGGGAAGAAUUCUUCAACUAUGGCAGCAAUGAUCUCCGGUUUAGCGACGGCAACGACAGCUGGGGCAGGAGGCCCUGUGCGCUCACCGUCUCAAGUUUUAUCUGAACUGUUGGAGGCUUUGGCUACGUUGUUGACGGUGGAGGUGACCCCGGUGAACCAAACGCAGCAUAAUGUAGACGUUGCGAAGUUACGUGUUGAGAUAGCUCAAGCAAAGGAGGAUCUAAACGCUGAGAACACCCGGAUGGCGACAGAGCGAGCAGACAAUUUUCAACACCCGGAUGGAGAGGGAGGCAGAACGGCUUUAAGCAGAAAAUUUUCACUUGAGCUUGGACCGGGACGCAUCAGACAUUGUCUUUAA
RNAcentral lists this ribosomal RNA (624 nucleotides) under Triticum aestivum (bread wheat). RNAcentral's name for it is "partial small subunit ribosomal RNA". The record is from RNAcentral. Lineage: Eukaryota; Viridiplantae; Streptophyta; Magnoliopsida; Poales; Poaceae.